This is a long non-coding RNA of Polyodon spathula (Mississippi paddlefish), 914 nucleotides long. RefSeq lists it as uncharacterized. The transcript has 3 exons. The record is from RefSeq and is a predicted model, not a curated record. Lineage: Eukaryota; Metazoa; Chordata; Actinopteri; Acipenseriformes; Polyodontidae.
UUAUUUGGCAGAUGCCUUUGUCCAACGAGGACUCUCCAAACCCCUGCUGAUGUGCUGUAAAACCCACUCCUUUAAGCUAAGUGUUCACACUGGUGUUGAUGAAACAAGCCUGAAUGACCUGACUCCAGUGACUAAACUUUACCAGGAAAUUGCAUCAUGCAGGAUUGCCAUGUGACUGAGAUCUACAUGCCCUGCCCAGACAAAGACAAGACAGGUGGUCCCUGCUAUUGAAGAAAUAGCACAGGCAAGAUAAAGGGAGCAUGUGGAGGCUGGACCAGCAAGCAAAACAAGAACCAGAGCUUAGCAGCGUCUGAUCGUUUAGUUUCGGAAAACCAAAAAACUGUAUAAAAAAAAAAAAAAAAGCAAAACAAUUUUGUCCAAAUGAUUAUUUUCUGAUCUGUUUUUUCUUUGUUGUUCAUGUAGAAUUUGUUUAGCUUACCAGCGAUCAUAAAAAGACACGGAUUAUGAACGGGUCAAAUUCAUUUAGUUACAAUGGGAAGUUCAAAAGCAGGCAAGAAACAACCUACGCCUAAAAUCACUGGAACUGCUUUUUUGUUUGAUAGCAUUAACAGUAUUUUAAGUAUUUGUAAUUAGAAAUUGGCAACCUGAUGCAACAUUUGAACUGGUAACACAGUAAAUCUGCCGCCGCAAACUAUCAAAGUAGUUUAAAAUGUAAUGAAGUCUCCCAAAAACGAUGCUUCACGUGCUGUAACUGAAUACAACCAAAUCCUUUUUGUGAUGUGUUGGCUGUUUUUCUCAGUUUGUGAGUCUGAUGGUUCUCAGAUAAGGCGGUCAUGUGCUGAUGUUGGAAACAUUCAUUUCAAUACCACAAACUGCUGAAACAAUAGAGAGAUCUGGGGUGAACAGCUUGCACAUGGCCUCCACCCCCCCCCCCCCCCCCCCCCCCCCCCCCA